Molecule: ribosomal RNA, 636 nt
Filed under: Triticum aestivum (bread wheat)
Lineage: Eukaryota; Viridiplantae; Streptophyta; Magnoliopsida; Poales; Poaceae
Description: partial small subunit ribosomal RNA
Source: RNAcentral
AUGCUUGUCCCGGUUCUUGGUGUCCUCUUUGGAGUUGCUCCAUGGAGCUCACCGAGCAACCAUGGCGCCACCCCGAACUCUGGAUCCGGCGCCCCCAAACCUCGACGGCCUCCCCCGCGCGCCUCCCUGACCCUCCUCCAUCUGGAUCCGUCCGGUGGCAGCCGGAUUGUCGCCGUUCUCUGGAGUCAAACCCGGAUCCAACACGCGCUGAUUAUGCCGCUGCCCCGCCUCCCGCGCGUCCUCCUCCUCCCAGUCGUGGCCCAUGGCGGCGAGGAGCGUGUUGAGCAGCCCGAUCGUGGUCGGCGGCGUGCGCUGCAGCCAGCCGGCGCGGGCCUGGAGCGCUGCGGCCUGGGCCUCGCUGUCGGCGAACCGCGUGCGGCGAAGAGGAGGCAGGCCGUGGUGUGGGGAGGAGGGCGCGGCGGAGAGGAGGUAGGCCGGCGCGCGGGGAUGGCGUCGCGGAUGAUGCGGACCGGCGGCGGGGAGGCGGAGGAUCCAGAUCGGGGUGGGAGGCGCGGUCGCUCGACUCUGGGUUUUUUUUUUUGGCAAACCGCACACGCGUCCACGGAUGGAUUAGAAAUACGAAACAUUUUUUUUCACAUAUUUACUGGACUGUGGGUUAAUUACUUAAUAUCAUAG